Molecule: ribosomal RNA, 267 nt
Filed under: uncultured bacterium
Lineage: Bacteria
Description: partial small subunit ribosomal RNA
Rfam family: Bacterial small subunit ribosomal RNA
Source: RNAcentral
AGGAUUAACGCUGGCGGCGUGCAUGAAACAUGCAAGUCGAGCGCGGUGUGAUGCGGGGUAACCCGAAUUCACAUCUAGCGGCGAACGGGUGAGUAACACGUGGGCAAUCUGCCCCUAGCACUGGGAUAACUCCGGGAAACCGGGGCUAAUACCGGAUAUGACCUCUGAGGGCAUCCUCUGGAGGUGGAAAGGAUCCUGGCUAGGGAUGAGCCCCGCGGCCUAUCAGCUUGUUGGUGGGGUAACAGCCUACCAAGGCGACGACGGGUA